Long non-coding RNA from Xiphophorus hellerii (green swordtail), 1889 nucleotides. RefSeq lists it as uncharacterized. The transcript has 2 exons. The record is from RefSeq and is a predicted model, not a curated record. Lineage: Eukaryota; Metazoa; Chordata; Actinopteri; Cyprinodontiformes; Poeciliidae.
GUGCAGGGCCGAGUUUCUGUCAUCCAAAUGGAAAACCUCCAUGUUAAAGGGCCGGUAUCAUGUAAAAUCGACUAUUUUUAAGCUUUAUAUUAUGUUAUAAUGUUAUCCCUUCAUCAAAAACAUUGCAAUAACUCUUUUAUGCAUGUUUGAAAAAACAUUUAAUCUCCCGUGGCAACUAUUCACGGGGGUGCCUAAAUGCUUGCGCUGACCAAGCUCUGUCUUUUCCACACAGCUCCUCCUCAGAGCUGCAGUUUCCGUCCGCAUUCACAGCUCCUUCAGACUAGCGGCAGCAGCAGUUAGCAAACACCUGGUGGAACUGAGCAUUUUCUGAUCUUAUCUUAGGAACUAGCCUUCAGCUCCUAAGAGCGAUGUUAAAGGCUUUAUGGGGAAACCGUUGUGCUGGAAAGAGCAGGAGUUUCUUAAAGAGACAGAAGCCCAAUUUCAAGGUGUUAUAUCACAAAGUCACAUGUCUUUUAAGUCUCAUUUGAUAUAUACUGAACAACUGACGGUAAUAUAGUUCUUCAUUGUGCUAAUUGGUAUAAUAUGUUUGGAAAACACAACACCGCCCCUUUAAAUGAAGUAAAAUGUGAACCUGUUUGUUUACAUCUUGACUCACAUCCUUUAAAUUUGGGUUUCGAGGACUCGUGUUUAUGCAUUAUGAAAUCCCCCCGCCUCUCCAGGAGAAGUACAGUAAUGCAGAGCGUCCGGAGCAGACAGAUCCGGGGCCGGGGCCCUGGGGCCGGGGCCCUGGGGCCGGGACCGUCAGUGGCAGAUCCUGAAUUAGUCACAGUGUUUUUUUUGUCUGCUCUGCGUUGGCUCAGCUUCGUUACAGGCCUAACAAAGGCUGCUUUCUUGCGGUGCUAGGGGAACUUCAUUCCCUUCCAGAGUUCAGUGACCCCUCGUUGCCAUAACGACCGGGGCCUGGAACUGUGUCUCUGUAAAUGGGUGACACUGAUGUCGUUUUGCAGUUUUCAAGUUCUAAAACUUACACAAAAUGCGGGACCGAUUCAGGUUCAGCUUUUAAUCUAGUCGCGUCUGAUUGGCGAAUUGCACCCAAAGGCUAGAAUGGAAUCCGCCCGACGCGGUUAGUGAUCGGGGAAGGCCGAGACGCCGACGCCAAGCACACGGAAAAGGUCGCUGCCUAAUCAAUUUUGUGAGUCAGAGCGUCAGCAGCACCUUGUCUCUCUCCAAGCCUCCACCCCAAACCGCAGACUGUCUUCGUGAUGUAGCAGUAGGUGGCCUGAGCUCUGCACACGCAAAUUUGCAGCGAAGGGACAAGUGAAGAUAACAGUGCAGAACAUCUGGGAGGGGCAGCGGAUUCGAUCGGAUCCUCCACUGAACACGGCUUUGCUUGUGCAGGAAGAGCUGAUCUCUGUGAGACCGGACGGAAGGACGAGGAUUUCACUGAGGUUUAAGAGAACAGUUUGGAUCUACACUGUAAAGAAUCACUGUAAAGACUACACAAUGAUUGUACAGCAAGACUGUAACAAAACUACAGUAAAACUGCAUUAGAAUUACAGUAAAAUCAGCAGAAGUACAGUAAACUAGUAACAGAAUUGCAGCAAAACUGUAAUAUAAUUCUGCAAAACUGUUACAGUAAAACUAACAAAAUCCCAGCAAAGAAAAUGUGCAAAAAAACCCCACAAUUUUAACUCCUCACAAUAAUUCUUCCACACAUGAAUCCCUCUAAUGGAAGCGCAGAGGCUUUUAAAAUUCGCCUUGAGCUUUAGUUUUUCUAAACGUUUCCUCUUAGGUUGUGUAUUUCAUUUCAAACCAGCUCUGCACACACUUGACAAACGUGGAAAGUCUGAGGUGUGUAGAUGUUUUAUCCGGCCUCCGCGUCAGAACACACACUCUCUGACUGCCGCUCUCUCGGUCGUCUGUUGAAG